GUGUUCCAGGUAAAUCCGGUUCACUUUAACACUGAGGCGUGAUGACGAGGCACUACGGUGUUGAAGCAACAAAUGCCCUGCUUCCAGGAAAAGCCUCUAAGCAUCAGGUAACAUCAAAUCGUACCCCAAACCGACACAGGUGGUCAGGUAGAGAAUACCAAGGCGCUUGAGAGAACUCGGGUGAAGGAACUAGGCAAAAUGGUGCCGUAACUUCGGGAGAAGGCACGCUGACACGUAGGUGAAGUGAUUUACUCAUGGAGCUGAAGUCAGUCGAAGAUACCAGCUGGCUGCAACUGUUUAUUAAAAACACAGCACUGUGCAAACACGAAAGUGGACGUAUACGGUGUGACGCCUGCCCGGUGCCGGAAGGUUAAUUGAUGGGGUCAGCGCAAGCGAAGCUCCUGAUCGAAGCCCCGGUAAACGGCGGCCGUAACUAUAACGGUCCUAAGGUAGCGAAAUUCCUUGUCGGGUAAGUUCCGACCUGCACGAAUGGCGUAAUGAUGGCCAGGCUGUCUCCACCCGAGACUCAGUGAAAUUGAACUCGCUGUGAAGAUGCAGUGUACCCGCGGCAAGACGGAAAGACCCCGUGAACCUUUACUAUAGCUUGACACUGAACAUUGAGCCUUGAUGUGUAGGAUAGGUGGGAGGCUUUGAAGCGUGGACGCCAGUCUGCGUGGAGCCGACCUUGAAAUACCACCCUUUAAUGUUUGAUGUUCUAACGUGGACCCGUGAUCCGGGUUGCGGACAGUGUCUGGUGGGUAGUUUGACUGGGGCGGUCUCCUCCUAAAGAGUAACGGAGGAGCACGAAGGUUGGCUAAUCCUGGUCGGACAUCAGGAGGUUAGUGCAAUGGCAUAAGCCAGCUUGACUGCGAGCGUGACGGCGCGAGCAGGUGCGAAAGCAGGUCAUAGUGAUCCGGUGGUUCUGAAUGGAAGGGCCAUCGCUCAACGGAUAAAAGGUACUCCGGGGAUAACAGGCUGAUACCGCCCAAGAGUUCAUAUCGACGGCGGUGUUUGGCACCUCGAUGUCGGCUCAUCACAUCCUGGGGCUGAAGUAGGUCCCAAGGGUAUGGCUGUUCGCCAUUUAAAGUGGUACGCGAGCUGGGUUUAGAACGUCGUGAGACAGUUCGGUCCCUAUCUGCCGUGGGCGCUGGAGAACUGAGGGGGGCUGCUCCUAGUACGAGAGGACCGGAGUGGACGCAUCACUGGUGUUCGGGUUGUCAUGCCAAUGGCACUGCCCGGUAGCUAAAUGCGGAAGAGAUAAGUGCUGAAAGCAUCUAAGCACGAAACUUGCCCCGAG
RNAcentral lists this ribosomal RNA (1297 nucleotides) under Salmonella enterica. Its description in RNAcentral is "partial 23S ribosomal RNA". It matches the Rfam family "Bacterial large subunit ribosomal RNA", at positions 1527 to 2803 of the family's 2925-position model. The record is from RNAcentral. Lineage: Bacteria; Pseudomonadati; Pseudomonadota; Gammaproteobacteria; Enterobacterales; Enterobacteriaceae.